This 424-nucleotide ribosomal RNA is filed under the name Verrucomicrobiota bacterium. RNAcentral's name for it is "Verrucomicrobia bacterium partial 16S ribosomal RNA". It matches the Rfam family "Bacterial small subunit ribosomal RNA", at positions 355 to 776 of the family's 1533-position model. Lineage: Bacteria; Pseudomonadati; Verrucomicrobiota. The record is from RNAcentral.
UGAGGAAUAUUGGUCAAUGGACGCAAGUCUGAACCAGCCAAGUAGCGUGCAGGAUGACGGCCCUAUGGGUUGUAAACUGCUUUUAUAUGGGGAUAAAGUGGGGAACGUGUUCCCUUUUGCAUGUACCAUAUGAAUAAGGACCGGCUAAUUCCGUGCCAGCAGCCGCGGUAAUACGGAAGGUCCAGGCGUUAUCCGGAUUUAUUGGGUUUAAAGGGAGCGUAGGCUGUUUGUUAAGCGUGUUGUGAAAUGUAAGAGCUCAACUUUUAGAUUGCAGCGCGAACUGGCAGACUUGAGUGCGCACAACGUAGGCGGAAUUCAUGGUGUAGCGGUGAAAUGCUUAGAUAUCAUGACGAACUCCGAUUGCGAAGGCAGCUUACGGGAGCGCAACUGACGCUAAAGCUCGAAGGUGCGGGUAUCGAACAGG